Molecule: transfer RNA, 68 nt
Filed under: Symplanella unipuncta
Lineage: Eukaryota; Metazoa; Arthropoda; Insecta; Hemiptera; Caliscelidae
Description: tRNA-Thr
Source: RNAcentral
GUUUUUAUAGUUUAAGAAAAAACAGUGAUUUUGUAAAUCAAUAAAUAGAUUUAUAUUUCUUAAAAACA